GCCCAUGUGGCUCAGUGGUACAGCGCCAGGUUGCUAACCUGGUGAUCGUUAGAUCUCACAGGUUCAAAUCCUGUCAUGGGCG
Molecule: transfer RNA, 82 nt
Filed under: Methanobacterium paludis
Lineage: Archaea; Methanobacteriati; Methanobacteriota; Methanobacteria; Methanobacteriales; Methanobacteriaceae
Description: tRNA-Ser (GCT) (tRNA-Ser-GCT-2-1)
Rfam family: tRNA
About the family: Transfer RNA (tRNA) molecules are approximately 80 nucleotides in length. Their secondary structure includes four short double-helical elements and three loops (D, anti-codon, and T loops).
Source: RNAcentral